CUGACAUGGUUAUGUUAACAAAAAGUUCUUAAAGUGAUGGUUCGGAUUACAUUCACCCUAGGGUCCUUUGCCCCAUGACCUAGAGCCAAAAAACAUGCUAAAAGCUUUUUUCACCUGGGUCAAACAUUUGGCCAUUUGGCAAGUUAGCGUUAUCAGCUGAAUAGCUGAGUGCAGAAGCUAAUGGAACCAACUGUGUAUCUCAUAAAUCACCCCACUAAAAAU
Molecule: long non-coding RNA, 222 nt
Organism: Etheostoma cragini (Arkansas darter)
Lineage: Eukaryota; Metazoa; Chordata; Actinopteri; Perciformes; Percidae
Exons: 3
Source: RefSeq, a predicted model, not a curated record